CUUUACUGUAACUUGGAAUUGAAAUUGGACUUUAUUUGCGCAGUAUAGGUGGGAGGCGUUGAGAAUAUUCUUGCGGGAAUAUAGGAGCCAUCAGUGAGAUACCACUCUUGUAAUGUUAGAUUUCUAACUUUGAAUCAUUAUCUGGUCAAAGAACAGUUUCAGGCGGGCAGUUUGACUGGGGCGGUCGCCUCCUAAAUGGUAACGGAGGCGCACAAAGGUUUCCUCUGAACGGGUAGAAAUCGUAUCUAGAGUGUAAAGGCAUAAGGAAGCUUGACUGUGAGACCUACAAGUCGAGCAGGGACGAAAGUCGGUCUUAGUGAUCUGACGGUGCUGAGUGGAAAGGCCGUCACUCAACGGAUAAAAGUUA
Molecule: ribosomal RNA, 367 nt
Filed under: uncultured organism
Description: bacterial LSU rRNA
Rfam family: Bacterial large subunit ribosomal RNA
Source: RNAcentral